GACGAACGCUGGCGGCGUGCUUAACACAUGCAAGUCGAACGGUGAAGCUCCAGCUUGCUGGAGUGGAACAGUGGCGAACGGGUGAGUAACACGUGAGCAACCUGCCCCAGACUCUGGAAUAAGCGCUGGAAACGGCGUCUAAUACUGGAUACGAGAUCAAGCCGCAUGGUUAUGGUCUGGAAAGUUUUUCGGUUUGGGAUGGGCUCGCGGCCUAUCAGCUUGUUGGUGAGGUAAUGGCUCACCAAGGCGACGACGGGUAGCCGGCCUGAGAGGGCGACCGGCCACACUGGGACUGAGACACGGCCCAGACUCCUACGGGAGGCAGCAGUGGGGAAUAUUGCACAAUGGGCGAAAGCCUGAUGCAGCGACGCCGCGUGAGGGAUGACGGCCUUCGGGUUGUAAACCUCUUUCAGCAGGGAAGAAGCGAAAGUGACGGUACCUGCAGAAGAAGCACCGGCUAACUACGUG
Molecule: ribosomal RNA, 468 nt
Filed under: uncultured bacterium
Lineage: Bacteria
Description: partial 16S ribosomal RNA
Rfam family: Bacterial small subunit ribosomal RNA
Source: RNAcentral